UGGUACAUGGCUUGAAAUGAAGCAAGCUGU
Molecule: non-coding RNA, 30 nt
Filed under: Macaca fascicularis (crab-eating macaque)
Lineage: Eukaryota; Metazoa; Chordata; Mammalia; Primates; Cercopithecidae
Also listed under: 1 other name
Source: RNAcentral